This 256-nucleotide ribosomal RNA is filed under the name uncultured bacterium. Its description in RNAcentral is "partial 16S ribosomal RNA". It matches the Rfam family "Bacterial small subunit ribosomal RNA", at positions 99 to 354 of the family's 1533-position model. The record is from RNAcentral.
CGGACGGGGUGAGUAACGCGUGGAAAACCUGCCGUAUACUGGGGGAUAACACUUAGAAAUAGGUGCUAAUACCGCAUAAGCGCACAGCUUCGCAUGAAGCGGUGUGAAAAACUCUGGUGGUAUACGAUGGUUCCGCGUCUGAUUAGCUAGUUGGUGGGGUAAUGGCCUACCAAGGCAACGAUCAGUAGCCGGCCUGAGAGGGUGAACGGCCACAUUGGGACUGAGACACGGCCCAAACUCCUACGGAAGGCAGCAG